This 466-nucleotide ribosomal RNA is filed under the name uncultured bacterium. RNAcentral's name for it is "partial 16S ribosomal RNA". It matches the Rfam family "Bacterial small subunit ribosomal RNA", at positions 28 to 507 of the family's 1533-position model. The record is from RNAcentral.
GAUGAACGCUGGCGGCGUGCUUAACACAUGCAAGUCGAACGAUGAAGCCCAGCUUGCUGGGUGGAUUAGUGGCGAACGGGUGAGUAACACGUGAGUAACCUGCCCUUAACUCUGGGAUAAGCCUGGGAAACUGGGUCUAAUACCGGAUAGGAGCGUCCACCGCAUGGUGGGUGUUGGAAAGAUUUAUCGGUUUUGGAUGGACUCUCGGCCUAUCAGCUUGUUGGUGAGGUAAUGGCUCACCAAGGCGACGACGGGUAGCCGGCCUGAGAGGGUGACCGGCCACACUGGGCCUGAGACACGGCCCAGACUCCUACGGGAGGCAGCAGUGGGGAAUAUUGCACAAUGGGCGCAAGCCUGAUGCAGCGACGCCGCGUGGGGGAUGACGGCCUUCGGGUUGUAAACUCCUUUCGUCAGGGACGAAGCGAAAGUGACGGUACCUGGAUAAGAAGCACCGGCUAACUACGUG